RNAcentral lists this long non-coding RNA (1201 nucleotides) under Lytechinus variegatus (green sea urchin). Its description in RNAcentral is "uncharacterized LOC121411154, transcript variant X1". The record is from RNAcentral. Lineage: Eukaryota; Metazoa; Echinodermata; Echinoidea; Temnopleuroida; Toxopneustidae.
UGAUUUUGAAUCAGUAUAAUACAGAUGAAUUAAAUAAUUUCAUCAUUUAAAUUAUAAACAUAAUCAUCACAAAACGGAAGAGAAUUUUAAUUCUUACAAAUUAAAAAAGUUAUCAGUUAAUGACUGUGCAAGUCUGUAAUUCUGCGGGUGCAGUACCUUUUUUAUACACAGAGAGAGCAUCGAAAUUAUAAUUUGAACCAGUUUAUAAAUGUACGAUUGCGUACUGCACUAAAGCGCGCGCGGCGCGCGCUGAGUGUCAUCCAGCCAGGCCAGCUGGCCAGCACUGCACUGGCGCCCAAGCACGCCGCGCCGCUGCGUCACAGCGGAAAAAAGGUUUUGUCCCGGCCGAAACUGCCGGGUGACCGACCAACCAUACUCCGUACCAACUACCAUCCUGCAGUUUUUACUUCUUCUGGAAACAGUACAGUCCACCGUCUGGUAAUUGUCGUACUGGUACUUCGUCUUACAAAUCGGGAAAACAGGAGUAGGCCUACAGGACGAUGUAAUUAUAGAAUUUAAUGUUGUUUCAAGAACUACCUGAAUCAGCUGUAACACAGACAGUGUUUAGCGUCUUGAGACCAAAUAAUGUUGAAGCUGACAGCGGGAACUAUUUCAGGUCUGCAAGCUGAUUCUUAGUGAUUCAUCAGGUAUGACGGUGCUUAUCAGAGGUUAAUACCGAAAGAAAGACUGAGAAAGGUUCCACUUAAAGCCAAACAUAGAGGAACCAUUUCUUUGGGUUGCUGUUCCCAAGGGCCAAUUACCUCAUGUUCAUCAAGAGGUCACUGCUACAUAUUAACGCUGGUAGACAAUACUGCUACAGUAGCAGAAAUAUUGUAGAGCAUCUACUCAAGGCAAGGAUUUCCUCAUAAAUGCUUGCUGAUAGAGGAACUCCAAUUACCUCAGAGGUAAUGAAGGAAGUUAGCCGACUUUUUUCAAUCCGUAUCAUCCACAGUGUUAGUCCAGGCCUGCCAGCCGCUGUGCAGCGCCAGAUCGACGAGGCUCCAUCCCUUUGAUUGUUGAACGCCAAACUGGGUAGCAGCAACUUCCAUCUUUUAAUGUCUUUUCAUCCAACACGGCUGGGGUUUAAACUUUCGACCCCCCCGGUUGUGAGACAGAUGCUCUACCAACUGACCCAACACACCGGUAGGGAAGGCGGGGUAAGUUGAGCCACCAUCCCCAGGCCAAUAAUGAAUGAGUCAGA